AGAAGUUUAGGUUAAACAAACCCAGGGCCUUCAAAGCCCUAAACAAGAGCACCAAGCCUCCUAACUUCUG
RNAcentral lists this transfer RNA (70 nucleotides) under Cyrtodactylus sp. MWK-2020. RNAcentral describes it as "tRNA-Trp". Lineage: Eukaryota; Metazoa; Chordata; Lepidosauria; Squamata; Gekkonidae. The record is from RNAcentral.